This 458-nucleotide ribosomal RNA is filed under the name uncultured bacterium. RNAcentral's name for it is "partial 16S ribosomal RNA". It matches the Rfam family "Bacterial small subunit ribosomal RNA", at positions 338 to 795 of the family's 1533-position model. The record is from RNAcentral.
CCUACGGGAGGCAGCAGUGGGGAAUAUUGGGCAAUGGGCGCAAGCCUGACCCAGCGACGCCGCGUGAGGGAAGACGGUCUUCGGAUUGUAAACCUCUUUUGUCGGGGAGCAAAAGACGCCACGCGUGGCGUUCCGAGAGUACCCGAAGAAAAAGCAUCGGCUAACUCCGUGCCAGCAGCCGCGGUAAUACGGAGGAUGCGAGCGUUAUCCGGAUUUAUUGGGUUUAAAGGGUGCGUAGGCGGAUUUUUAAGUCAGCGGUAAAAUGUCCGGGCUCAACCCGGGCCGGCCGUUGAAACUGGUUUUCUUGAGUGAGCGAGAAGUAUGCGGAAUGCGUGGUGUAGCGGUGAAAUGCAUAGAUAUCACGCAGAACUCCGAUUGCGAAGGCAGCAUACCGGCGCUCAACUGAAGCUCAUGCACGAAAGUGUGGGUAUCGAACAGGAUUAGAUACCCCAGUAGUC